UACCCGUAAUGCUUCCGCUGAG
RNAcentral lists this microRNA (22 nucleotides) under Caenorhabditis remanei. RNAcentral describes it as "crm-miR-56". Its record names the gene crm-miR-56. Lineage: Eukaryota; Metazoa; Nematoda; Chromadorea; Rhabditida; Rhabditidae. The record is from miRBase by way of RNAcentral.